Molecule: long non-coding RNA, 222 nt
Organism: Ipomoea nil (Japanese morning glory)
Lineage: Eukaryota; Viridiplantae; Streptophyta; Magnoliopsida; Solanales; Convolvulaceae
Exons: 3
Source: RefSeq, a predicted model, not a curated record
AAAAAAAAGAAUUGGUGGGGUAACCCCAGCCAAGAUGGCUAAGGAUAUAAACUUGUAACCACAAGGUCACGAGUUAGAAUCCCAACCCUCUUGGUUUAAGUCGGUCAAUUAUGAGCAACCUAGGCUAGUUUACCUCCUUGUGGUCCUUAGUCAGUUAAAAUCACAAGACAGAGUUUACCCCGUGCACACCUCAGGUAGUGGUUGCGGGUUUCCAUCGUCACC